Molecule: transfer RNA, 72 nt
Filed under: Ignavibacteriota bacterium
Lineage: Bacteria; Pseudomonadati; Ignavibacteriota
Also listed under: 1 other name
Description: Ignavibacteriae bacterium (groundwater metagenome) tRNA-Gln
Rfam family: tRNA
About the family: Transfer RNA (tRNA) molecules are approximately 80 nucleotides in length. Their secondary structure includes four short double-helical elements and three loops (D, anti-codon, and T loops).
Source: RNAcentral
UGGGGCGUCGCCAAGUGGUAAGGCAACGGUUUUUGGUUCCGUCAUUCGUAGGUUCGAUCCCUGCCGCCCCAG